Molecule: small nucleolar RNA, 73 nt
Organism: Acomys russatus (golden spiny mouse)
Lineage: Eukaryota; Metazoa; Chordata; Mammalia; Rodentia; Muridae
Product: small nucleolar RNA SNORD113/SNORD114 family
Exons: 1
Source: RefSeq, a predicted model, not a curated record
CUGACCGGUGAUGAGAAGUCUGGGGUGUCUGAAUCAAUGAUUUUGAUUAAACCCUGUAAACUCUGAGGUCCAC